Molecule: long non-coding RNA, 1548 nt
Filed under: Homo sapiens (human)
Lineage: Eukaryota; Metazoa; Chordata; Mammalia; Primates; Hominidae
Description: HSALNT0278289
Source: RNAcentral
CCCCCGUCUCUACAAAAAAUAAAAACUUAGCUGGGCGUGGUGGUGCAUGCCUGUGGUCCCAGCUACUCUGGAGGCAGAAGUGGGAGGAUCACUUGUGCCCAAGAGGCUGCAGUGAGCCAUGAUGGCGCCACUGUCUUCCAGCCUGGGCGACAGAGUGAAACCCUGUUCAAAAAAACUAAUAACAACAACAGCAACAACAAACGAAACAGAGCUGAGCUAAUAUGGUAGCCACAGAUUAAAAUAAACUAAAAAAUCCAGUUCCUUGGUCACUGUAGACACAUUUUAAGUGAUCGGUAGCCAUCUGUGGCUAGUGGCUACUGUACUGGACAGCACAGACAUAGAACAUUUCCAUUAUCACUGAAAGUUGUAUUGCCCAGCGCAGCUCCAGAAGCUCACUCGCUAAAGAGAGAGACACACAGGAGAGCAGACCAGACAACACAGUGUUGUGUGGGCUGCAAUGUCCUCCUCGGUAAAAAGCAGGUGAUGAGGCGGAGAUUAAAGGAGAUGCCAGGAGAAUGCUUAGCCUAGUUCCUGACUCAGGGUGAGUGCUCGGAGGACAUCUGCCAUCACCGUACAGGACAGUACUAUAGGAUCUGUUUACAUACCUAUCUUCCUAGCAGACUGUGAGCUCCGCCCAGCCCUGGCAUGGUGCCGGGCACAGAGCAAGUGCUCAGGAAAUAGUAGCUGUUAUCAGCACCAUUGUUAUUAUCACCACUGCUAUGACAGAGGCAGCCGAGGGCUGUGGGAACACAGAAGAGGGCUCCCAUCCCAGCCCCAGGGCCAGGGGCUGCUGAGAGUCGGCAUUGCCAGAGCCAGGCUGGGUGGCUUUGUGGUCCCCUCAGGGGCAGGCCUAGGGCGGGGUCCUCUUCACACCCUUAGGGUCUGGGUACAGGGUCCAGCUGGAGCAAGCUGGGGCUCAGGGAAUAGUUGUGGAAGGAGCUCUAGCCUCCAGGAACUCCAGCCCCCUUGAGGAAAGACCAGGUGAGUGGGCAAGAUGGUCUGAGGGUUGCAGAGCUGAACAGGGCAUGAAGGGCACAGAGGCAGAGCCAGAGGGAGACUCGCGCUGGGACUACCAGAGUGCAGCCAUAUUUGGAGUACCCCUGUUUUUACUGCAGACUCCCCAGGCAUCAAAGUCUGUGGGAGACAGAGCAGAUUUGGGGAGGGCAGGCUGCAGGGAACCUCCCUGCAGGUGGCCGUGAGUGCCAGCCUGGCCGUUACCAGCCUCCCAUGGCUCUUCAGGAUUCCAGAGGCUCAGAGCAGCCAUUCACAGCCGCCCACUCCUAGGAAGCCAGCCCCUCCCUGCACCAGAGCCCAGCCCAGCACGGUCUCCGGGGAUGUAGCUGGUGGGACAGUGAGCAGAGGGCUGGGCCCUGUGCCUGGGGACUGUGGCCUGGAGGCUGAGCAGGAGCUGAGGAGGGGACCAGAGGGACAAGGCCCCUAAGCUGGCCACCAUGGCCAGACUCUGAGUGCAGGGGAGGUGAGGGGCCUGCGUGUGCCUUAUCUUCCCAGACACACUGGAUCCUUCUUGUCCUCUGAUCAAGGUAGGUG